Molecule: ribosomal RNA, 485 nt
Filed under: uncultured bacterium
Lineage: Bacteria
Description: partial 16S ribosomal RNA
Rfam family: Bacterial small subunit ribosomal RNA
Source: RNAcentral
AUUGAACGCUGGCGGCAGGCUUAACACAUGCAAGUCGAGCGGGGAAAGGUAGCUUGCUACCUGACCUAGCGGCGGACGGGUGAGUAAUGCUUAGGAAUCUGCCUAUUAGUGGGGGACAACAUCUCGAAAGGGAUGCUAAUACCGCAUACGUCCUACGGGAGAAAGCAAGGGACCUUCGGGCCUUGCGCUAAUAGAUGAGCCUAAGUCGGAUUAGCUAGUUGGUGGGGUAAAGGCCUACCAAGGCGACGAUCUGUAGCGGGUCUGAGAGGAUGAUCCGCCACACUGGGACUGAGACACGGCCCAGACUCCUACGGGAGGCAGCAGUGGGGAAUAUUGGACAAUGGGGGGAACCCUGAUCCAGCCAUGCCGCGUGUGUGAAGAAGGCCUUUUGGUUGUAAAGCACUAUAAGCGAGGAGGAGGCUACCGAGAUUAAUACUCUUGGAUAGUGGACGUUACUCGCAGAAUAAGCACCGGCUAACUCUGUG